GUAGAGCAUUGGUCUUCGGAACCAAAGGUUGAGGGUUCGAGUCCCUCUGUG
This 51-nucleotide transfer RNA is filed under the name uncultured Dinobryon. RNAcentral describes it as "partial tRNA". It matches the Rfam family "tRNA", at positions 18 to 66 of the family's 71-position model. Rfam says of the family: Transfer RNA (tRNA) molecules are approximately 80 nucleotides in length. Their secondary structure includes four short double-helical elements and three loops (D, anti-codon, and T loops). Further hydrogen bonds mediate the characteristic L-shaped molecular structure. tRNAs have two regions of fundamental functional importance: the anti-codon, which is responsible for specific mRNA codon recognition, and the 3' end, to which the tRNAs corresponding amino acid is attached (by aminoacyl-tRNA synthetases). tRNAs cope with the degeneracy of the genetic code in two manners: having more than one tRNA (with a specific anti-codon) for a particular amino acid; and 'wobble' base-pairing, i.e. permitting non-standard base-pairing at the 3rd anti-codon position. Lineage: Eukaryota; Chrysophyceae; Chromulinales. The record is from RNAcentral.